RNAcentral lists this small nuclear RNA (107 nucleotides) under Octodon degus (degu). Lineage: Eukaryota; Metazoa; Chordata; Mammalia; Rodentia; Octodontidae. The record is from RNAcentral.
GUGCUCGCUUCGGCAGCACAUAUACUAAAAUUGGAACGACACAGAGAAGAUUAGCAUAGCCCCUACGCAAGGAUGACAUGCAAAUUCGUGAAGCGUUCCACAUUUUU